AAGUCGUAACAAGGUUUCCGUUGGUGAACCAGCGGAAGGAUCAUUACAGAGUUCAUGCCCUUCGGGGUAGACCUCCCACCCUGUUUAAUUACUAUUGUUGCUUUGGCAGGCCGCCUUUUAGGCGUUGGCUCCGGCUGACUGCGCCUGCCAGAGGACCCAAACUCGUUUGUUUAGUGAUGUCUGAGUACUAUAUAAUAGUUAAAAU
Molecule: unclassified non-coding RNA, 205 nt
Filed under: plant metagenome
Description: partial contains small subunit ribosomal RNA and internal transcribed spacer 1
Rfam family: Eukaryotic small subunit ribosomal RNA (bases 1-46)
Source: RNAcentral